GCCGGGCACGGUGACGUGUGCCUGUAGUCCCAGCUACUCAGGAGGCUGGGACUAGAGGAUCUCUUGAGCCCAGGAGUUCUGGGCUGUAGUGCGCUAUGCUGAUCGGGUGUCCGCACUAAGUUCUGCAUCAAUAUGGUGACCUCCCGGGAGUGGGGGACCACCAGGUUGCCUAAGGAGGGGGGUGAACCUGCCCAGGUCAGAAACGGAGCAGGUCAAAACUCCCGUGCUGAUCAGUAGUGGGAUCGCGCCUGUGAAUAGCCACUGCACUCCAGCCUGGGCAACAUAGCAAGACCCUGUUUCU
RNAcentral lists this signal recognition particle RNA (301 nucleotides) under Cebus imitator (Panamanian white-faced capuchin). Its description in RNAcentral is "Metazoan signal recognition particle RNA (ENSCCAG00000014367.1)". It matches the Rfam family "Metazoan signal recognition particle RNA". Rfam says of the family: The signal recognition particle (SRP) is a universally conserved ribonucleoprotein. It is involved in the co-translational targeting of proteins to membranes. The eukaryotic SRP consists of a 300-nucleotide 7S RNA and six proteins: SRPs 72, 68, 54, 19, 14, and 9. Lineage: Eukaryota; Metazoa; Chordata; Mammalia; Primates; Cebidae. The record is from RNAcentral.